AUGAUUCUGUUGUUUGUAAGCAUAAUGAUUGAAUGUUCAUGCAUCUAUGUGAUGGGGACCUGCCUCAAACCUUGUUACAGUGUUGGCAUUACCUAUAUAAUA
Sorex araneus (European shrew) is the source of this 102-nucleotide small nucleolar RNA. The record is from Ensembl. NCBI's taxonomy places the organism in Eukaryota, Metazoa, Chordata, Mammalia, Eulipotyphla, Soricidae.